This 74-nucleotide transfer RNA is filed under the name Thermoleophilaceae bacterium. Its description in RNAcentral is "tRNA-Pro". It matches the Rfam family "tRNA". Rfam says of the family: Transfer RNA (tRNA) molecules are approximately 80 nucleotides in length. Their secondary structure includes four short double-helical elements and three loops (D, anti-codon, and T loops). The record is from RNAcentral. Lineage: Bacteria; Bacillati; Actinomycetota; Thermoleophilia; Thermoleophilales; Thermoleophilaceae.
CGGGACGUAGCGCAGCUUGGUAGCGCGCCUGCUUUGGGAGCAGGAGGUCGCUGGUUCAAAUCCAGUCGUCCCGA